AUAAAUAAAUUAUUUUUUAAAUGGAAAAUAAAAACUUUUCCAAAAAAAAUCGCUCUGCAUCCCCCCCUGUUUUCCAUUUUUCAACACAUCCAGAAGUAUAUAAAAUUCACGAACAGGAGUCAUAAAUGUCAUUAUCAUUUAACGUUGCAUAUUCCCAUCUAGUUGGACUACACGGAAUUAAUUGCAAAAAGGGACAACGAGACGAUUUAUUGUGCAAAAGGAGUUGCAAUAAAAUUAUAAAUACUUUGUGUCACAUGUGCGCUUCCUAGUUCUGCUAAACUUUUCCCCUGUCGCAUGUGCGAAGGGGGUGGAGACUUUCAACAAAAGCUUAAGCUAUUAGUUUAAUUUUGCAAUUUAUGGUUAACUUUUCAUUCAACCACCUUGUGCACCGGCAAGAAGCUCCUCCACGGGCCACACAACUUCAAUAUAAAGUUACAAUAAAUAUUAAUUGGACAAUUUGUUAAAUAUGUCGUCAAGUGAGAAAUUUCUACGCUACAUCUCUCUUGCAUUCAUUGUAACGUUUAUAACAAUUGAUGGUCUCCCGUUGUUGUUGGUGGAAGGAUUCAAGAAUACAGGGAACACACAGGAAACUUUAGAACUUCCAGAACUCUCAAGCAAACAUCAUCAAUUGAGUUCUCAGCGCUCAAAGAGGUGUAUCGUAGUUCAAAAGCAAUCCCAUUUCCCACAGAGAACCAAACCCCAUAGCACCGAUUACGACGACGAGGAAAAUGAUAGUGAUUCAUCGUUUGAAAACUAUCAAAAGGAUCAAAGACGAAUUAAACUUCCCCGAAGAAUGAGAAGGAAAUUUAAUAGCAGAAAUUUUGAUAAAAAAGACAUUGAGGACAUCUAAAAUCACC
Lutzomyia longipalpis is the source of this 857-nucleotide long non-coding RNA. RefSeq lists it as uncharacterized. The record is from RefSeq and is a predicted model, not a curated record. The transcript has 3 exons. NCBI's taxonomy places the organism in Eukaryota, Metazoa, Arthropoda, Insecta, Diptera, Psychodidae.